UAUUUUUUUUUAUAGUACGAAAGGACCUAAAAAAUUAAUUUUAUU
RNAcentral lists this ribosomal RNA (45 nucleotides) under Scirtothrips dorsalis. RNAcentral describes it as "partial 16S ribosomal RNA". Lineage: Eukaryota; Metazoa; Arthropoda; Insecta; Thysanoptera; Thripidae. The record is from RNAcentral.